UGGUAGAACACCAGCCUUCCAAGCUGGAUACGUGGGUUCGAUUCCCAUCACCCG
RNAcentral lists this transfer RNA (54 nucleotides) under Ruminococcus sp. RNAcentral's name for it is "tRNA-Ser". It matches the Rfam family "tRNA", at positions 16 to 69 of the family's 71-position model. From Rfam's summary of the family: Transfer RNA (tRNA) molecules are approximately 80 nucleotides in length. The record is from RNAcentral. Lineage: Bacteria; Bacillati; Bacillota; Clostridia; Eubacteriales; Oscillospiraceae.